RNAcentral lists this unclassified non-coding RNA (672 nucleotides) under Hevea brasiliensis (rubber tree). The record is from RNAcentral. Lineage: Eukaryota; Viridiplantae; Streptophyta; Magnoliopsida; Malpighiales; Euphorbiaceae.
UCAACACUUCUAGGAACUGGUGAAAAUUGGACCUUGAUGAAGACUAUAAGUGUUACUGAAUACUUAAACUAUGAAGCAGGAAAGUUUUCGAAGAGUAAAGGUAUAGGUGUUUUUGGUAAUGAUGCAAAAGACACAAACAUUCCUGUAGAAGUCUGGAGAUAUUAUUUACUAACUAACAGGCCAGAGGUAUCUGACACACUAUUUACAUGGUCUGAUUUGCAAGCAAAACUUAACAGUGAGUUGCUCAAUAAUUUGGGCAACUUCAUUAAUCGAGUUUUGAGUUUUAUUGCUAAACCUCCAGGAACAGGAUAUGGUUCCAUUAUUCCAGAUGCUCCAAAUGCAGACUCACAUCUCACAUCCCCUGACAAAGAAAUUGGCUGAAGAAGUUGGUAAAUAUGUGGAGCAAUAUGUUGAAGCUAUGGAAAAGGUCAAAUUAAAGCAAGGACUGAAAACUGCAAUGAGCAUUUCUAGUGAAGGGAAUGCAUAUUUGCAAGAAAGCCAAUUCUGGAAGCUUUACAAGGAAGACCAAUCUUCAUGUAAUAUAGUUAUGAGGACUUCUGUAGGACUUGUAUACCUUCUUGCUUGUUUAUUAGAACCCUUUAUGCCAUCUUUCUCUUUUGAGGUUUUCAAGCAGCUUAAUUUUCCUCCUGAGAAAGCUUCACUUUGUGAUGA